AGGGCACCACCAGGAGUGGAGCCUGCGGCUUAAUUUGACUCAACACGGGAAAUCUCACCAGGCCCGGACACCGGAAGGAUUGACAGAUUGAGAGCUCUUUCUUGAUUCGGUGGGUGGUGGUGCAUGGCCGUUCUUAGUUGGUGGAGCGAUUUGUCUGGUUAAUUCCGAUAACGAACGAGACUCUGGCCUACUAACUAGAUGGAGGAUCCCUUUGUGGGUUCUUCACUGCUUCUUAGAGGGACGGGCGGCGUUUAGCCGCACGAGAUUGAGCAAUAACAGGUCUGUGAUGCCCUUAGAUGUUCUGGGCUGCACGCGCGCUACACUGAAGGAAUCAGCGUGUCCUCCCCGCUCUGAAAAGAGUGGGUAACCCGUUGAAACUCCUUCGUGAUGGGGAUUGGAGAUUGUAAUUAUUCUCCAUGAACGAGGAAUUCCCAGUAGGCGCGAGUCAUCAGCUUGCGUCGAUUACGUCCCUGCCCUUUGUACACACCGCCCGUCGCUACUACCGAUCGAGUGAUUUAG
RNAcentral lists this ribosomal RNA (519 nucleotides) under uncultured eukaryote. RNAcentral describes it as "SSU rRNA". It matches the Rfam family "Eukaryotic small subunit ribosomal RNA", at positions 1161 to 1701 of the family's 1831-position model. The record is from RNAcentral.